GAAUAAGAUAUUUUACUUUGCAAAUCAUGUGUAGGCUAAUAAUCCAUCUUUAUAUGUUCUCUAAUUAAUAUACUGCACUAAUAUACCAAAAAAUACUGUUCAGCACACAUUUUCCCAUUUUGGCUCGAUUUUGUUAUAUUCACCUGGGGCCGGUUGUUCAAAAGCCGAACUUUGAACAAAGCCCAGCUUUGAACAACGCAGUUUUAACUCAGGGUUAACUAACCCUAGGUUAAGGAUUUUAACCCAGGGUUAGUGCUAACCCCGGGUUAAAGUUAACCAGCUUUUGAACAACCGGCCCCUGUAUAUAGUUGAAUACGUCAAAUUUGACCAAUCACCUUGUAGGAUUUGUUAUGUUCACUUGUGCAAAAAUACUAAUCCACGAUAAUCACCGAGCCUGAGGCGAAUAAUUGUUUUAGUGUUUUGCACAAGUUUUUUUGUGUUUUUCUGGUCUGAAUUCAUUUUAAUUUCGCGCAUUUCUUUAUCACUAACUUCAACAAAACGGCUAGCCGCCAUUUUGACUGAAAAUUUCGAUUUUGUUAUAUUCACCUGUAGGUGCAUGAAUUAAUAUAACAGAUCAGUAAUACGUCAAAUUUGAUCAAUCACCUUGUAGGAUUUGUUAUGUUCACUUGUGCAAAA
This is a non-coding RNA of Paramuricea clavata, 636 nucleotides long. The record is from the annotation of a GenBank genome assembly. Lineage: Eukaryota; Metazoa; Cnidaria; Anthozoa; Malacalcyonacea; Plexauridae.